Molecule: non-coding RNA, 543 nt
Organism: Phascolarctos cinereus (koala)
Lineage: Eukaryota; Metazoa; Chordata; Mammalia; Diprotodontia; Phascolarctidae
Source: RefSeq, a predicted model, not a curated record
CUUAGUUCCAGAGGACUGUGAUGUCACAGAAAGCCUUUUAGGAGCUGUCUUUCUGUCUCUCUGAUCCAGAGUUUACCUCUGCCCUUUAUUCCUCUUACAAAGGACAAGUGGCCAAAGACAUAAUGUUCUUGCCUACCACUCCAAUCACCUCCCAAUCCUAUAGGAGAACAGGGGAAAGUUCUGAGAGUAGUCAGCUUUUAUAAAAGACAACCAAGCUUCUACAUUUGCCACCCCUCAAGCCCCAAACCCUGGGAAGAACAAAAGGAAAAGAAAUUGGCACCAUAUCAGAGCUAAUUUUCCAAAAUCCAAUUCCACUCACUGGCAAAUAGGACUUCAGAGACCAAGAAUAGAAGGAAGAUGGGGGUCUGCAAUGCUCCAAUUCCACUUCUCCCUGAUCCUUUUGAAUCUAAAACCUGAAAUGGAGCCAAUGGAGAGCUAGAGACAGAAAAAUCUGACCAAACCUGGUUUUAAGAGCACGUCCUUUGAAAAGAGGCUCAUCUCCUUAUUAGUUCUCCAAGCAGCAUGUCCUCUCUAGAUCAAGAC